Molecule: ribosomal RNA, 120 nt
Filed under: Methanocella conradii HZ254
Lineage: Archaea; Methanobacteriati; Methanobacteriota; Methanomicrobia; Methanocellales; Methanocellaceae
Source: RNAcentral
GUUGGCGGCCAAAGCUCCGGGGCCGCCAGGUCCUGCAUCGAACCCGGAAGUUAAGCCCGCCAACGAUCCAUCGAGUACUAAGGUAUGCGAGUCCUUGGGAAAAACGGAACGCCGCCAAAC